GACGAACGCUGGCGGCGUGCUUAACACAUGCAAGUCGAACGGAAAGGCCCCUUUGGGGGUACUCGAGUGGCGAACGGGUGAGUAACACGUGAGUAACCUGCCCUUGACUUCGGGUUAACUUCAGGAAACUGGGGCUAAUACCGGAUAGGAAUCCUUGCUGCAUGGUGGGGGUUGGAAAGCUUCGGCGGUUUUGGAUGGACUCGCGGCUUAUCAGCUUGUUGGUGGGGUAGUGGCUUACCAAGGCUUUGACGGGUAGCCGGCCUGAGAGGGCGACCGGCCACAUUGGGACUGAGAUACGGCCCAGACUCCUACGGGAGGCAGCAGUGGGGAAUAUUGCACAAUGGGCGGAAGCCUGAUGCAGCAACGCCGCGUGCGGGAUGACGGCCUUCGGGUUGUAAACCGCUUUCAGCAGGGGCGAAGCUUGUGGUGACGGUACCUGCAGAAGAAGCACCGGCUAACUACGUG
This 465-nucleotide ribosomal RNA is filed under the name uncultured bacterium. RNAcentral describes it as "partial 16S ribosomal RNA". It matches the Rfam family "Bacterial small subunit ribosomal RNA", at positions 28 to 507 of the family's 1533-position model. The record is from RNAcentral.